AGUGAACGCUGGCGGUAUGCCUAACACAUGCAAGUCGAACGGCAGCACAGUAAGAGCUUGCUCUUACGUGUGUCGAGUGGCGGACGGGUGAGGAAUACACCGGAAUCUACUUUUUCGUGGGUGAUAACGUAGGGAAACUUACUCUAAUACCGCAUACGACCUACUGGUGAAAGCAGGGGAUCUUCGGACCUUGCGCUAGUGAAUGAGCCGAUGUCGGAUUAGCUAGUUGGCGGGGUAAAGGCCCACCAAGGCGACGAUCCGUAGCUGGUCUGAGAGGAUGAUCAGCCAGACUGGAACUGAGACACGGUACAGACUCCUACGGGAGGACGCAGUGGGGAAUAUUGGACAAUGGGCGAAAGCCUGAUCCAGCCAUACCGCGUGGGUGAAGAAGGCCUUCGGGUUGUAAAGCCAUUUUGUUGGGAAAGAAAAGCAGCAGGUUAAUACCCCGCUGUUAUGACGGUACCCAAAGAAUAAGCACCGGCUAACUUCGUG
This 492-nucleotide ribosomal RNA is filed under the name uncultured bacterium. Its description in RNAcentral is "partial 16S ribosomal RNA". It matches the Rfam family "Bacterial small subunit ribosomal RNA", at positions 29 to 507 of the family's 1533-position model. The record is from RNAcentral.